UACGGGGGGAGCAAGCGUUGUUCGGAUUUAUUGGGCGUAAAGAGCUCGUAGGCGGUUUGGUAAGUCGGAUGUGAAAUCUCCAGGCUCAACCUGGAGGGGUCAUUCGAUACUGCCAUGACUAGAGUUCGGUAGGGGAGUGUGGAAUUCCUGGUGGAGCGGUGAAAUGCGCAGAGAUCAGGAGGAACACCCGUAGCGAAGGCGGCACUCUGGGCCGAUACUGACGCUGAGGAGCGAAAGCGUGGGGAGCGAACAGG
RNAcentral lists this ribosomal RNA (254 nucleotides) under uncultured bacterium. RNAcentral's name for it is "partial 16S ribosomal RNA". It matches the Rfam family "Bacterial small subunit ribosomal RNA", at positions 524 to 776 of the family's 1533-position model. The record is from RNAcentral.